UUUCUGUCCCGCCUCUAUUCACGUGCUCUGGCUAGCGGGUUUCGGAGGGGCGUCCUUUCCUCUCCCUCACGAUUACUCGUCUCUCUCCCCCCACCCCGCUCCCUCCUACGUCGUCCCAGGGAGUGGGCGCCGGACGAGAGAGUCGCCUUCCCCGCCAACCAGAGCAAGGCGCGCAGGCAAGGCUUUGGACUCUCCCUCACUUCCUUCCACGGCAAGAAGGCGCCGCCGUUGCUCUCCGUCCCUCGGCUUGUUCGGGGUCUCGCUCCGCCACUCCGAGAGAAGCCCCUGCAUGCUGCAGAAGUAGGUGGUGGCGGCCAGGGCGACUGCCCCGCUGCUUUCCCUUCGUCUCCUUGCCUCGCCGCACACCUCCUUGGCGCGCUUGCCUGCCGGCAACCACAGCCCAGACGCGCAGCGGAGGGGAGAGGCGAGGCGCGCACCCCGGACCCUCGGAGGAAACAAUGAACAGCGCGAAAAACGAGCAGGAGCACAGCCCGCCCGAGCCAAACCUGCAGGAGGAAGAGGUACGGACACUCUUUGUCAGCGGUCUGCCUCUGGACAUCAAACCCCGGGAGCUCUACCUGUUGUUCAGACCAUUCAAGGGUUAUGAAGGCUCUCUUAUUAAACUCACAUCUAAGCAGCCUGUGGGUUUUGUUAGUUUUGACAGUCGCUCAGAAGCAGAAGCUGCUAAGAAUGCUUUGAAUGGAAUCCGCUUUGACCCAGAAAUCCCUCAGACGCUCCGACUAGAGUUCGCCAAGGCCAACACGAAGAUGGCCAAGAGCAAAUUAGUGGGAACACCAAAUCCAAGCACUCCUGCAACCCCCAAUACUUUACCUCAGUUCAUUACCAGGGAGUCAUAUGCGCUGGCUCCCACCCUCAGAGGCUACUUCUCAGGGCUGGAAGUCCCGUCAGUUCUGCUGAAUACUGUGUACCAGGUGUGUGAUGGCGGCUACAAUCUGUCUUGUGGGUAUUAAUGUGUUCUUCCUACAUCGCUACUGGUAUCUUACCUCCAUCUUCAGAAUUGCAGUGUGGUGGGCUUGAAAAACCUCACACAAGCUUGGAUUCCUUCAAGACUUUGCCACAGCCUCUAUCACACAUCUGCUCUUUUAGAAAUAAAAUACAAAUAUUGAGUAGUAAUAAUGUUUUCCUCUUCUACACUGUAUAAAAUUGUAAGGAAGAGUGUGGAUUCCAAAAAGCACGGGUAAACAUCUGUCUUGAAAAAAAGGUAUCUUCAAACAGAGCAACAAAGACAAUAAGUAUUUUUAUACCAAGCAUUUUAAGCAGGAUGCUGUGUUGGAUCUCUGACUAUGUGCUUGACUUUUUGGAUGUGUGUAAUUGAGAUUUCUCUUUCCCUAUCCUUUUAAGCUGCAUGUUCAAGGCAUGUUUUUAAAUCUUGUUCAGAUUUUUUUUAAAGUGUAUUGUUAAAUUGGAUAGACACCUUGGUUAUCCUGGCUGGGAGCCUGAGAUGAUGUGUGUUGAAACAUAUAAAGUAUUCCUGUGGUACAUGUACAUGUUUCUCCCAAUUGUGCCAAAUUAUAUCAAGCAAGACAAUCAAAAAUGCAAAUGUCUUUAUAACUUUGGGAUCUAUUACAGUGUGCUGAACUGUAUAGGGGCAAUCUGACAGCGGGUCACACGCUAUUUUCUCUGUGGUCAUAUAUUUGGAUAUACAACUGCAUGGUGGGUGGGGUGGCAGGGGAAUUUCUUUUCCAUGGGUUUCUAGUUUGUAGUAAGUCCCUUCCCUUAAUUAUCACUGCUGAUUAUGAAUAUGGUUGCAACUGCCUCUGUUCCUUUCUUUCAGACAUUUCCCAACAUGCAGUUGUGUAACCUGUAUGAUUCUUUAGCAGAAAAGAGAAGAAAAAGCAGCUACUUGGCUGUGAGAAUCAGUCUUCAGUGGCAGAGCUAUGCAGGAAAUGGCUUCUGUAAAGCAGGUCCUUACAAUCUACUUGCUUAAAAAUAAAUAAAGAGUACAUAUGUACAUCUUUUGCAUGGCUUAGCUCCAUGUACAGGACCUUGUUGGUGGUUGUUAGGGGCAUUGACUGAAGCCCAUGAGGAUGGCUAAAGCAUUGAUUAGCAAAGCUGAAGUUCAGUUGAUGCUAAUCAAUAUGCAUGUAGAAAAACCAAAGGCUUUCGCUGAAUCCAGAUCUCUGAUGAAAGGAUCACCUUCUGUCCAAUGGCUUGCUCUGUACUGUUUUCCAUAGGAAGUACUGAACUCAGAUACAACAGUUGCCUUUAAAAAGUCUCCAAUAGCCUCCCCCAUGUGUAUGCAAGGCUGCCAUCUGUGGAUCUGCAAGAGGCAAUCUCACAUAAAGAACCAACUUGGUGCCAUUGUUGUCUUGGUUUGAUGCCUGCCUUCUGUGUAUACCAAAUAUUUGUGGGAUUCUGGAACUCAGCAGUCUUAGUGUGCUUAUUUUUGUAUAUAAGAUGGCAGUGGGCUGGAAGAACAGUUCAAGCUUGCACUGGACUAGCCCAAGGCAUUUAACUGACCUCAACUCAAGUCCUGCCCUGUCAGUGCUGAGAUGUGUGCCAGGAUCCCUUGAGGUAUUGGGAGAGAGUACCAACUUGAAACUCUUGAUUUUGCAUGUAAUCUGCUCUCUUGUUGGACAAUUGCUAAGCAACUACUUGGAUUGCUGAAGGCAAUGGGUUGGAUUAUUCACCCACCUUCUCUAGCCUGAUUCAUGCCACCCUUUUCAGAUGUGAGGUGUACGUUGAGUGAAUGCAGCCUGAACAUUCUGUCCUCUGACCUGGUAAUGAAGUUGGUUAUAUGAUAUUGCCACCAUUGGUCAACCUGCUUGGCAAUGAUACUGUAAAUCAAGAUGGGGGUCUAUAGUGAUGCAACAAGACAUUUGUUUCACAAAAAUCACAGAAGUAAAGAAUUUGAAUUGAAUUCAACUUGUCACCAAAAGAUGAUUAUGUAAGCCCUGGUAGAGCUUUGUAGCUCUCGUCAUCUUCUGGGGAGCUGAAUGAAUGUGAGAGAAGUCAAAUGAUCAUGUGGGAACUAAAAUGUAGCCGCCUGAGCCCUGCUUCAUUACUAGCAAUUGCAUUGGUAAUAUAAUCAUAGCUUUGAGGUAGCAUUGCUGCUUAUUAGAUAACUUAUUUUCCAAAGCCAGAUUUUCUCCACAGACGAAAUUACUUACCCUAAUACAGUUUGACUGAAAACAGGCUCUAAGAAUCAACCUGCACUUCCAGGUGACAAAAUGGGCACUACCUUAGUCAUUUAGACAGCUAAGCUGAUCAUGUGGAGGGAAGAGCAGGGCUCCUGUAUAAUUAUUCAUAGCUGUAGAAGAUGAAAUCUCAACAGAUGAGUUUUCCUCUCUCCUGAAUGAUAAGCUCCAAGUGCCAGAAUCUCGGUUCUUACCAGUAUCCUCCUUUGCAUCUGGUCAUAGUACAGCUAUCCUAUCACUUCCAUAACAAUAUUGGUAGGUUUGACUAUACUGGCUUGCUCAACAGGGAGACUUUUAAUACAGUGAAAUGUUUCUGAUUGGGUUUCCCCACCAAAUAUAGUUUAAUACCUUGUCCUGAGGAUAAGUGGCUUCAGUGUCUUAAUAAGAAUGCAUUAUUUUGCAGGGAGUAUAAGUGCUAGCAGAGUAUAAGUGCAAAGCAGAGGCUUUGAAAUUGCAGAAAAAAUGGGGUAGAAAAAAACCUAUCUUUAAACAAAAAUAAAUUGAAGACUUGAGAACAAAAUUAAAAUGUGACAGCAGGCGACUGAGUAAAGUAACUGUUGGUCUUUUUCAGCAAAAAAACUUGAUUUUUCUGUAUCUCCUGAUGGCAGUAGCAGAAACAAGAUGCUUCCAAAUUUUUUUGUUUUUAAAAAAUGUUAAAAGGUACUUUUCUAUUGUAAUUUUUUAAAAAUAAAGAAUGAUUACAAUUUA
Rhineura floridana is the source of this 3866-nucleotide RNA transcript. It is a transcript of the gene named RNA binding protein, mRNA processing factor, with no coding region annotated. The transcript is spliced from 8 exons. The record is from RefSeq and is a predicted model, not a curated record. Lineage: Eukaryota; Metazoa; Chordata; Lepidosauria; Squamata; Rhineuridae.